This 121-nucleotide ribosomal RNA is filed under the name Periconia digitata. Lineage: Eukaryota; Fungi; Ascomycota; Dothideomycetes; Pleosporales; Periconiaceae. The record is from RNAcentral.
ACAUACGACCAUAGGAUCAUGAAAACAGAGCUUCCCGUCCGCUCAGCUGUACUUAAGCAUGAUACCGGCGGAUUAGUAGUUAGGUGGGUGACCACUAGCGAAUACCUGCUGUUGUAUGUUU